Molecule: transfer RNA, 90 nt
Filed under: Microbacterium sp. Bi128
Lineage: Bacteria; Bacillati; Actinomycetota; Actinomycetes; Micrococcales; Microbacteriaceae
Description: tRNA-Ser
Source: RNAcentral
GGGCGUCCUGGCGGGGCUCGCACGUGCCGGUGACGGGCACGACGAAGGCGAGCGAGCCGGCGUGCUGCCGAUCGUCGUGGAAGGCGCUCA